UACGAAGGGGGCUAGCGUUGCUCGGAAUCACUGGGCGUAAAGCGCACGUAGGCGGAUGGCACAGUCAGAGGUGAAAGCCCAAGGCUCAACCUUGGAACUGCCUUUGAUACUGUUUGGCUUGAGACCGGUAGAGGUAAGUGGAACUGCGAGUGUAGAGGUGAAAUUCGUAGAUAUUCGCAAGAACACCAGUGGCGAAGGCGGCUUACUGGACCGGUUCUGACGCUGAGGCGCGAAAGCGUGGGGAGCAAACAGG
Molecule: ribosomal RNA, 253 nt
Filed under: uncultured bacterium
Lineage: Bacteria
Description: partial 16S ribosomal RNA
Rfam family: Bacterial small subunit ribosomal RNA
Source: RNAcentral